AGCAGGAGUGGGGCCAUUAGAAGUUUCCCCGGUGCAAGUGGAUGUUGUAGCCGCAGCGGGGAUGUCAGUGGGGGGAUAUUUACGGCCUCUGGCCUCAGGUGGCCCCGCCUUCCUCUAUGGAAAUCAAAGUGUUCCAGGACUCACGGGGGAUUGGCUGGCCCGGACCUAUGCCCGCCCCAACUCCAUGCAGAUCAGAGUGUGCCAGACCACUCACACCAUUGGCUGCUGCAGGAGCCUUGAACACGACGGACCAAUGACACGGCUGCCUGCAUUUACCGGGAAAUAUAAAAGGCUGAGGAUCCUUCAUUCGUGGGGGACUUGUUGAUUUGAACAGACUGCACUGAAAAAAGUCUAACAUGCAGUCAUUCAUUCAAUCUAAUAAGUGCCAUUCAAAACAGAAUAAAAUCAUUGAUUUGAUUGUGAAACCCUUUCUUUUUGCAUUUUAAAAUACCACUUUUGAUUUGGAUGAAACUAAAUAUCUGUACAAAGGAUACAACGCAAAGUUUUUGAUUUCUCUCAAAACAUAUAUUUCUUUCCAUGUUGAACAGAUAAUAUCUUUAAUUUGAGUCAGUGAUUUGCACUUGAACACGCCCACCAGAAAUAGACCGGGACCCAUUUUUAUUCUGCAUGGCUGCUGGAAACAUCGUGUCACAUCUUUGAUUAAUUUCAUCUGAAAAUAAACAACCACAGAUCGCUCCAUCCAUUCCAUGGCUGAAGCAUACAUUUUCAUUUAAUCUGAACAGGAUGCUGAUGCUGACAUUAGGAGGGAGUGUAUACUUAAAUCUCUUAUUAUCUACCUUGGAGAACGUGUUGAGGACUUGAUAAAAGAAUACAUGAUAUCCCAGAAAGAUGAAGCUGAGGAAGAGCUGCAGAGUACCACCAUGGCACUCUUCGUCUUCAGGGACAACUCAAGCCUCCUACAUCAGCCUCGAGACAUCGGGAUAAUCAUUGAUGGUGUGGAAGUCCUGAAUGAGUUGCCUUCUGUGGCAGCUGGAGUGGCAAUGGUCUUUGGACUCUGUUAUGCUCUUAAUAUGGAAUAUCCACGAGGAUUCAGCUUCACCUUUGAGGCUCUUCAAAAGAUUAUGAUGGAGCUUGACUUUAACAAGAUGACCUCUAAGAUUUGCAAACUUAAUUGUGAACUUAACACUGCACAGUAGUGUGUUUGCAUGCAUGUGUGCAUGUGUAUGUGUGCUUGGUUAUUUUGCUUGGUUGGCCUGCAGUGGUAUUCUACAUUCAAAAGUUAUAAGAACACCCAUUUGAAAGGGAGAUUUAAGUUGAUUUCAUUGAUACAUGUGUACAUUUUUUUUUUUACAUUGUACAGGCACAGUGCACAUAUAAACAUUUUUGAGUACUUGCAAAUUGGUUUAAAAAGAGUUUUGGUUUUAUGCCAGUUUUAGACAGGUUGCAGGUUUUAUACCAGUUCUAAAAAGAUUGCAGGUUUUAUACUGGUUUUCAAAAGGUUGCAGGUUUUAUAAAACAAACAUUUCUCUAAUCAUUUCUGCCGUAGCACUAAAUCUUUAUAUUACUAAUCCUCUCUAUUGAUUAUAGUUAAAAUGGUUUGGAACAAUAAAUAAUUUUGAAAUAAUUGGUUGGCCAACUGUCUUGUUUUUUAUAGGAAAUGCAGAGCAUUUUUGAACUGAAAUAAAAUGAAAUGUAAAAAAUAUAGUUUGAAUAUAUGUAAAUCAAUUACCUGGCUUCAACACAAACAUAUUAGUUCAUGUUAAUUUGGUUCGAUGUGAAUACAUUAGGUUGGUUAAAUUUCAAUAUAUUAGCUUGGUUCAAUAAUUAAAAUAUGGUUCUAUGUAAAAAAAAAUCAAUUUGGAUCAAUGCAAAAUUUAAAGUUUCAGUCAAGUCUAGUAAUAUUGUUUAUAUCAACAUAAAAGUAUCAGGUCAUAUCAAGUGACUCAAUUUGGAUUCUAUGAAGUCAAAUAUUUUGGAUGUGACCAUUGGACAUCAAUUUUUUUAAUUUCAAUAGGGUUUUUCUUUUUACAGUGUGUGCAGAUUGUCCCUCCUGCCUUUGCCGUUGCCCUGCUGCCCUUUUGAGUCUUUGUUUUGGAGUAGCCGCUUGUGAGAUGUUUAGGUGAUUGGCAUUAGCUGAUUAGUGUUGUAUUUGUGUUAUUUGAGUACCUGAGCUGUUUGUUAUGUUCGUUUAAAGCACCCUACUGCCUAGUGAGUUUCACUAACGGUUUUCAGUUGUAUUAAUAAACCUUGUGUUUUUCUUUUUAUCUAACCCCCUGGUCUCUGGGCUCAUUUAUGUUAC
Long non-coding RNA from Oreochromis niloticus (Nile tilapia), 2260 nucleotides. RefSeq lists it as uncharacterized. The record is from RefSeq and is a predicted model, not a curated record. The transcript has 4 exons. NCBI's taxonomy places the organism in Eukaryota, Metazoa, Chordata, Actinopteri, Cichliformes, Cichlidae.